GAUGAACGCUGGCGGCGUGCUUAAUACAUGCAAGUCGAACGAAUGGAUGUCUAGCUUGCUAGACUGAAGUUAGUGGCGAACGGGUGAGUAAUACAUAGGCAAUCUGCCCUGAAGUGUGGGAUAGCUAUUGGAAACGAUAAUUAAUACCGCAUAGGUAGUAAGAAGGCAUCUUCCUACUAUUAAAGAUGCGUCUGCAUCGCUGCAGGAUGAGCUUAUGGUGUAUUAGCUAGUUGGUGAGAUAAAAGCCCACCAAGGCUAUGAUACAUAGCUGGUCUGAGAGGAUGAACAGCCACAUUGGGACUGAGACACGGCCCAGACUCCUACGGGAGGCAGCAGUAAGGAAUUUUCGGCAAUGGGGGCAACCCUGACCGAGCAACGCCGCGUGAGUGAUGAAGGUCUUCGGAUCGUAAAGCUCUGUCUUUAGGGACGAUAAUGACGGUACCUAAGGAGGAAGCCACGGCUAACUACGUG
RNAcentral lists this ribosomal RNA (471 nucleotides) under uncultured bacterium. RNAcentral describes it as "bacterial SSU rRNA". It matches the Rfam family "Bacterial small subunit ribosomal RNA", at positions 28 to 507 of the family's 1533-position model. The record is from RNAcentral.